GUACAUCCUUUCUAUUCUUCCCUUCCUCUCCAUUCUUUCCUACCGCGUUUUACCAUCAUCAGAACGAGAAUGAUAGUACCAGUUCUCACGAUUUAAAGGAAGAAGAAACAGAAGAAAUUAUAUUAUUUUCAUCCGCAUUAUCUAUGGGAAUAUCAGCACCAAUAGAAGAUGGAAGAUGCAGCAUUAUCAGUACCAUUAAAUUUGA
RNAcentral lists this non-coding RNA (205 nucleotides) under Thalassiothrix antarctica. Lineage: Eukaryota; Bacillariophyta; Fragilariophyceae; Thalassionematales; Thalassionemataceae. The record is from RNAcentral.